CGGAGGGUGCAAGCGUUAUCCGGAUUCACUGGGUUUAAAGGGUGCGUAGGCGGGCAGGUAAGUCAGUGGUGAAAUCUUUGGGCUUAACCCGAAAACUGCCAUUGAUACUAUCUGUCUUGAAUAUUGUGGAGGUCAGCGGAAUAUGUCAUGUAGCGGUGAAAUGCUUAGAUAUGACAUAGAACACCUAUUGCGAAGGCAGCUGGCUACGCAUAUAUUGACGCUGAGGCACGAAAGCGUGGGGAUCAAACAGGAUUAGAUACCCUGGUAGUCCACGCCCUAAACGAUGGAUACUCGACAUACGCGAUACACAGUGUGUGUCUGAGCGAAAGCAUUAAGUAUCCCACCUGGGAAGUACGACCGCAAGGUUG
This 368-nucleotide ribosomal RNA is filed under the name uncultured organism. RNAcentral describes it as "bacterial SSU rRNA". It matches the Rfam family "Bacterial small subunit ribosomal RNA", at positions 526 to 896 of the family's 1533-position model. The record is from RNAcentral.